RNAcentral lists this ribosomal RNA (308 nucleotides) under uncultured bacterium. Its description in RNAcentral is "partial 16S ribosomal RNA". It matches the Rfam family "Bacterial small subunit ribosomal RNA", at positions 505 to 807 of the family's 1533-position model. The record is from RNAcentral.
GAGACAGCAGCAGCCACGGUAAUACAGAGGGUGCGAGCGUUAAUCGGAUUUACUGGGCGUAAAGCGUGCGUAGGCGGCUUUUUAAGUCGGAUGUGAAAUCCCUGAGCUUAACUUAGGAAUUGCAUUCGAUACUGGGAAGCUAGAGUAUGGGAGAGGAUGGUAGAAUUCCAGGUGUAGCGGUGAAAUGCGUAGAGAUCUGGAGGAAUACCGAUGGCGAAGGCAGCCAUCUGGCCUAAUACUGACGCUGAGGUACGAAAGCAUGGGGAGCAAACAGGAUUAGAUACCCCUGUAGUCCCUGUCUCUUAUAC